Molecule: small RNA, 3189 nt
Filed under: Pan troglodytes (chimpanzee)
Lineage: Eukaryota; Metazoa; Chordata; Mammalia; Primates; Hominidae
Description: retained intron
Source: RNAcentral
UUGAGGCUGCAGUGAGCCAUGAUCACACCACUGCACUCCAGCCUGGGUGACAGAGUAAAACCCUGUCUCUAAAAGAAAAAAAAAAAAAAGGGAUCAAGCACAUAUGUCUCCACAUAGGCGGGCAUCCUGACCCCCGUGCUCCUGACUGAGACUUCUCUGGCCUCCCCCACACUCACUGCAUCCUCUGCACCCCUGGUGUCCUCCCCUCUGGAUGGGAUUCCCUGGUGUGGGUGGGAUCCAGGAUGGGGGCUGCAGGGUGUGCAGGAGAAUGAGGGGCUUGUGCUGACCUCACUGCCAAGCCCCUGCCCCCAUCCUGGUCCUAGCCUUGGAGCAGAGGCUCAGGGCCACCUUCCACCCCACAUUUCUCUUCCCCCUCCCCCAGAUUUUCAUGUUCCAGCUGCUCCGGGGCCUCGCCUACUGUCACCACCGCAAGAUCCUGCACCGGGACCUGAAGCCCCAGAACCUGCUCAUCAACGAGAGGGGGGAGCUGAAGCUGGCCGAUUUUGGACUGGCCAGGGCCAAGUCAGUGCCCACAAAGACUUACUCCAAUGAGGUGGUGACCCUGUGGUACAGGCCCCCCGAUGUGCUGCUGGGAUCCACAGAGUACUCCACCCCCAUUGAUAUGUGGGGCGUGGGCUGCAUCCACUACGAGAUGGCCACAGGGAGGCCCCUCUUCCCGGGCUCCACAGUCAAGGAGGAGCUGCACCUCAUCUUUCGCCUCCUCGGGACCCCCACAGAAGAGACGUGGCCCGGCGUGACCGCCUUCUCUGAGUUCCGCACCUACAGCUUCCCCUGCUACCUCCCGCAGCCGCUCAUCAACCACGCGCCCAGGUUGGAUACGGAUGGCAUCCACCUCCUGAGCAGCCUGCUCCUGGUGAGUGUCCUCCCGGCGGGGCCCAGGGAGAGGCAGCCAAAGAGCCAAGUCCCUGUGCCCCAUGCCGGGCCUACGCCCCAACUUCUGUGGCUCGUGUGCUUACACGUCUUUGAAACAUCUCCCCUGUACUCUCCACCCCCAAGGCCAAGGGGUGGCCUCCAUACGCAUCCUCUGGAGUCUGUGCACUGCGAGCCCAAACCCGUUACUUAGCUGUGUAGCUCUGGGCAAGUUACAGAGCUCCUCCAUGCCUCAGUUUCCUCAGCUGCAAAGUGGGAUUAAUACCUAUUUUAUAAGAUGGCCGUGAGGAUACAUUGAGAUGACGGGACACACUUAGUGUGGUGCCUGCCUUGUAAGGCACACGAUGAAGGGUUGUUAUCGGCACUACGCUUCCUGUUACGGAUGUUCUCCAUCUGAUCAUGGUUGGUUUGCAUCUGUAUUUCUAUCCCAAGAGAAGGUCACUCUCCUGAAGUUUCAUUUCUGGUUUUUCCUGGUGGCUGGAGACCGAGGAGCCUUCCCCUGAGUCUUGAGAUGGCCUGAGGUUGGGUUUGUGGUAGGGGCUGGAGGCUGACCUGGGGCUUCUCCUGUUAGCCUCAAGCCCCACCCACCUUGGUGCUCUAACCAGCACUGGAGUCCUGCUGCCCAGAGGGUUUGCAGCCCCCCAGCCGGGCCCAAUAGCCCCACCCUGUGCCUUUCAGUAUGAAUCCAAGAGUCGCAUGUCAGCAGAGGCUGCCCUGAGUCACUCCUACUUCCGGUCUCUGGGAGAGCGUGUGCACCAGCUUGAAGACACUGCCUCCAUCUUCUCCCUGAAGGAGAUCCAGCUCCAGAAGGACCCAGGCUACCGAGGCUUGGCCUUCCAGCAGCCAGGACGAGGGAAGAACAGGCGGCAGAGCAUCUUCUGAGCCACGCCCACCUUGCUGUGGCCAAGGGACAAGAGAUCACAUGGAGCACAAAUUCGGGUAGGAUGGAGCCUGUGUGGCCCUCGGAGGACUGAAGAACGAGGGCUGACAGCCAGCCUGGAAGACCGCUUGGCAGCCCUUCUGGCCACGGCUGUUUCUUCUUUGUGCUUCCCGUGUGCCUCCCCAGUAGCCCUCACCUGCAUACCAACCCCUCCAUUACCCACGUUGGGGCUGGCAUGAGCUGCUUCCCUGAGAGGACAUGAGAGGGGGGGCGGUCCUCGUACCCUCUCCCACCCUGGUGUUUGGGCACCUGCGUGGGAUGCACAUGGAUGACAGAAUCAAGGCGCCAGGAUGGGCACUCUGCCCUGGAUACAGGCUCUACCCUCCUCCCCCAGGGCCUGCCUAGUGCCAGUUUGGUAGUCCCCCUUUCUGGCCCCUUGGAGCCCACACACGUUUCAUCUUUUUCCCCUCUGAGAGCAAGAAGAGACAUGGCAUGUUCUCUGGGACCCUGGAAUCCUAGGUACCCACAUGUGUGCCAAAGCCUACCCCACCUGGCAGGUGUCCCACAGCAACAGAAGGAAUAGUAGUCCCCACUCUUUCCAUCAGCCCUACCUUACCCUCAUUCCCCGACACCCUCUGGCUUGAACCAUGGCUGAGCAGUGCCGGCAUAUGCUUCGCCGGCAUGCUUGGAUGCCCAGCUGUGUCCAGAGGUGGCCUGGGACCGCCAGUUGCACGCCUGCCACCUCAGCCAGCCCCCGCCCAGCUCAUCAGUCUGAAUGGAGUUGCCUUAAAUUGGCAGGUGGUACCGUACUCACUGCCCUUGGAGCUGUGACCGGCUCCUGCCUGUCCACCCCUUCCCGAGGUGGCUCCUGCUUACCUUAUCAUCCCGGGGCUCUGAUUAGCCAGGCCUGGUCAGGGUCCUGGGGAUGGCACCCAGAUAUGCAGAGUCACCCUGACACUGGUGCCAGGCUGACCUCAGCUCCCGAAGGCUCGCACAGCCUCCCCAUCCUUCCUUCCCGGCCCUUGUGGCUCUGUCCACCUGAUCCCAAUACCAGCUUCCCCCAGCCCCUGCCACCCCAGAGGGCGGCCACGACAGGGAGAGGUGUAGAUGCCACCAUCUGAGGGAGAGGAACGUGGAACAGGAGCAGGCUCUGAUGCUGAGAGGCUUGCCUCCGGGGGCUGGAAGCCUGGGUGGCCAGGGCCCCUGAAGAAGGCUCCCCUCUGUAUCCCCCAGGUCUCCUCAACACUGGGCUGAUCCUGAAUGGCACAGGCCAAGGGGAGGCCAGCCUCGCCUUUCUACCCAGGCCCCCUGCCCUGCCCACCUCAGGCCCCCACCCUCCACUCCUCCCCACGGUACUGUGAACGUUGUGUGACUCAGUGCAGAGACAGAUAAUAUAUUUAAUUCAUGUACAGAAAGGA